Molecule: ribosomal RNA, 327 nt
Filed under: uncultured eukaryote
Lineage: Eukaryota
Description: partial 18S ribosomal RNA
Rfam family: Eukaryotic small subunit ribosomal RNA
Source: RNAcentral
CCCUUAGAUGUUCGGGGCCGCACGCGCGCUACACUGAUGGGGACAGCGUGUUUGCCAUUCCUGGUCCGGCAGGAUUGGGCAAUCCGUUGAACCCCCGUCGUGAUUGGGAUCGGAGCUUGUAACUAUUCUCCGUAAACGAGGAAUUCCCAGUAAGCGCAAGUCAUCAGCUUGCGUUGAUUACGUCCCUGCCCUUUGUACACACCGCCCGUCGCACCUACCGAUUGGAUGGUCCGGUGAAGCCUCGGGAUUGUGGCGGUUGCCUUUAUUGGUGGCCGCCGCGAGAACUUGUCUAAACCUUAUCAUCUAGAGGAAGGUGAAGUCGUAACA